Molecule: non-coding RNA, 78 nt
Organism: Microthyrium microscopicum
Lineage: Eukaryota; Fungi; Ascomycota; Dothideomycetes; Microthyriales; Microthyriaceae
Source: the annotation of a GenBank genome assembly
GCUUCUAUGGUCUAGUGGUAUGACGUCCGCUUCACAGUAAUGCGCUGAAGGUCCUGGGUUCGAUCCCCAGUGGAAGCA